UACGGGGGGGGCAAGCGUUGUUCGGGUUUACUGGGCGUAAAGGGCUCGUAGGUGGCCAAUUAAGUCAGGCGUGAAAUCCCCAGGCUCAACUUGGGAACUGCGUCUGAUACUGGUUGGCUUGAAUUCGGGAGAGGGAUGCAGAAUUCCAGGUGUAGCGGUGAAAUGCGUAGAUAUCGGAAGGAACAUCAGUGGCGAAAGCGACUUCCUGGACCAAUACUGACGCUCAUGUGCGAAAGCGUGGGGAGCAAACAGG
RNAcentral lists this ribosomal RNA (253 nucleotides) under uncultured bacterium. RNAcentral's name for it is "partial 16S ribosomal RNA". It matches the Rfam family "Bacterial small subunit ribosomal RNA", at positions 524 to 776 of the family's 1533-position model. The record is from RNAcentral.